RNAcentral lists this ribosomal RNA (342 nucleotides) under uncultured Bacteroidales bacterium. RNAcentral's name for it is "partial 16S ribosomal RNA". The record is from RNAcentral. Lineage: Bacteria; Pseudomonadati; Bacteroidota; Bacteroidia; Bacteroidales.
GGAGUCUGGUCCGUGUCUCAGUACCAGUGUGGGGGAUAAGCCUCUCAGCUCCCCUAGACAUCGUCGGCUUGGUGGGCCGUUGCCCCGCCAACUACCUAAUGUCACGCAUGCCCAUCCACUACCACCGUAGCUUUAGUUGUCUCUCCAUGCGAAAAACAACUCCAUGGGAUAUUAGUGGAAGUUUCCCUCCGUUAUCCCCCUGUAGUGGGUAGGUUGCAUACGCGUUACGCACCCGUGCGCCGGUCGCCAUCAAGAUCAGCAAGCUGAUCUCAUGCUGCCCCUCGACUUGCAUGUGUUAAGCCUGCAGCUAGCGUUCACUCCUGACGCCAGGAUACAAACUCU